This 487-nucleotide ribosomal RNA is filed under the name uncultured bacterium. RNAcentral's name for it is "bacterial SSU rRNA". It matches the Rfam family "Bacterial small subunit ribosomal RNA", at positions 8 to 478 of the family's 1533-position model. The record is from RNAcentral.
AGAGUUUGAUCCUGGCUCAGGACGAACGCUGGCGGCGUGCCUAAUACAUGCAAGUCGAGCGGAGUUACAAGAGAUGCUUGCAUCUCUUGUAACUUAGCGGCGAACGGGUGAGUAACACGUGGGUAACCUACCCAUCACAGGGGGAUAACAUUCGGAAACGGAUGCUAAUACCGCAUAGGUUCUUUGACCGCAUGGUCGAGGAAGGAAAAGAGGCCUUAGUGCUUCUGGUGAUGGAUGGACCCGCGGCGUAUUAGCUAGUUGGUGAGGUAAAGGCUCACCAAGGCAUUGAUACGUAGCCGACCUGAGAGGGUAAUCGGCCACAUUGGGACUGAGACACGGCCCAAACUCCUACGGGAGGCAGCAGUAGGGAAUCUUCCGCAAUGGACGAAAGUCUGACGGAGCAACGCCGCGUGAGUGAAGAAGGUUUUCGGAUCGUAAAACUCUGUUGUUAGAGAAGAACACGUGCUAGAGUAACUGCUAGCAUCAU